UACGUAGGGUGCGAGCGUUAAUCGGAAUUACUGGGCGUAAAACGUGCGCAGGCGGUUUUGCAAGCCGGAUGUGAAAUCCCCGGGCUCAACCUGGGAAUGGCAUUCGGGACUGCAAGGCUGGAGUGCGGCAGAGGAGACUGGAAUUCCUGGUGUAGCAGUGAAAUGCGUAGAUAUCAGGAGGAAUACCGAUGGCGAAGGCAGGUCUCUGGGCUGACACUGACGCUCAUGCACGAAAGCGUGGGGAGCAAACAGG
Molecule: ribosomal RNA, 253 nt
Filed under: uncultured bacterium
Lineage: Bacteria
Description: partial 16S ribosomal RNA
Rfam family: Bacterial small subunit ribosomal RNA
Source: RNAcentral